Parus major (Great Tit) is the source of this 5150-nucleotide long non-coding RNA. RefSeq lists it as uncharacterized. NCBI's taxonomy places the organism in Eukaryota, Metazoa, Chordata, Aves, Passeriformes, Paridae. The record is from RefSeq and is a predicted model, not a curated record. The transcript is spliced from 2 exons.
CCGCCGCCCCGGCCCCCGCCCCGGUAGCUCUUCCUCUACACGUUCUCCUGCUGCUCCUGUCUGACACCACGCACUUCUUGCCCGCUCCCUCUUCCACCCCACGGCCAGGCAGCGCCGAGCGCUUUCCCGAGGCACCGGGACGGACACUGGGGCGGGAUCUCCCGCCGUCCCCCUCAGCCCCGCUCCCGGCACGGCUGCUGCCCGCCCCCGGGAGCCGGCCAGGACUCCAGCCAAAGCGGUGGAUAUAGGAAUCUGGGAUAACCGGUAAAUAUGGCAACGCACGUAACUGUUGUUAUGCUCUAAAGAUUUCAGUAUGAGACAAGCAACUAGACAGCUCUUUCUGAGACAUAUGCAAGUUUGUUUUUAUAAAAUCGAUGUAAUUCUUCCAGCAUUUAAAGUAGUUCUUUGAAGUGAGCUCCCUGAACACAAGAUUCGUUUGUGAAGAGCUGGCAGGUGUCUCAUUACACACACACGCACACAGAUAUCAGGAGCUGCUUCCUUUCCCCCAGCAUACCUGAUCUCUCUGCUCCAUGCAAGACCCUCCUUCAGCUUUCUCUGGCAAACUUCAGGAUGAUGCUGUCUGUGGAAACUGUUAAAAACAAAAACAUAUGCGCCUUUGUGGUGAUGUCGUUUGGAUAUUUUGUUUUGAAUGCUCUUUAAGGCCUGUUUUAACACAGGCCUCUGCCCAUGGGCACACAAUAAAAUACAAUGCAAUAUGAAGACUGAUGUUCUCCAUCUAACCUUGUCACUGUUCAGUUACCAGUUUGUUGUGAUUCUCUUAAAUAUACUAUUUCAGAAUUAUGAUUUCACAGCCUCUGCCAGAUACAAAAUAACAGAUUCUGUGUGGCAUUUGGAAAGGAGACAGCUCCUCACACCAAAACCGCAGUGUUGCUGUUGUUCUCAUGGUGAUGAUACUUAGUGCUGUGUUUGCCUUUUGGCACAAACGUCUGGAGAAGGUAGUUGUUUUCUGAAUCUGCAUCCACAAGCAGUAUCACCUAAAUUGUGCUGUCCUGAGAAGAAUGGACUCGUGGGAACACAGGAAACUUUGUCACAACAAGAGUUUGUUGCAUUGGGUGACACAAACUUAGAGCUUUCAAGAAUGUAUUUUAAUGAUUUUAAUAACAAGGAAAAGACAUGCACAAUAAGUAAUAACAUAAAAGGCCCUUUGGCCAUAUUUUAUAAUGCUCCACACACUUUGCUUACUUUACCUGAUGGAGUUUGAGUUUCCCCAAAAAAUGCUUUAAGAGAAAGGGAAUAAUUUAUUAUUUUUCCCAAGACUGAGACCUGCUGGUAUCUGUGAUACAAUAAUGUGUUUAAAAGCUCCAUACCAAUAUUUUGGUUUCCUGCAUAAAAAAGUCUCCAUCAUCACAGAAGAGAUACUUAUUAAGAUCGUGAUUUGAAAAACACAAACAAUGAAGGCCUCAAAAGGAUUACUUUUUUUUUUAACUGACAUCCUGAAAAUGUAUGAAUGUGUUGAAAACAGCUUUAGCCACUUGCAAGAACCUGUGGAAAAAUAAAACAAGUUUCCUUGAGUCUGAGGCUUACAGAAGGCUUCUUCAUCUUGGAGACAGUGUUCCUCUGAGUGAUGGCAUCAGAAAGAUGGGGAGGCCCAGCAAGGAAACAUUGAACAUAUAAGAUAUGCAAGAUUUAUUUUGUUAACACUGUGCACAUAUCUUGGAGAGUAAAGGAGCCACUAUAUCCUUGUUGUAAUAUCUCAUCCUAAUCGCAGAGGCCGUGCUUUAGAUGUCUUUGUGUAGCAAAUGGAGAAAGAAAACUGCUUUGACCUCACCCAUCCCAAUACUGGAAAAUAUCCUGGUUCACUUCCAAAAUAAAGUUCAACCAAGGGCCACCCAAGUGUAAUACCCUGUUCAAUUACAAAAUAAUCCUUAGGCUGGAACCCACAGAAUAAUGCAUAUUGCCAUCUCCCACCAUGGCUAAAGGAACUCAAGAUACUUGGUAAAGCUCAAUACUGAGCAAAAAUACAUAAGGAAAUAAAUAAAUAAAUAAAUAAAAAUCAAACUCUAAAACAAAAAAUUAGACAAUUCCUCUCCCCUGUUUUUGGCUAUGGAACACGUUAGUCUGGAAUUAAAGCAAUAACAUGUUUCAGAAUUCAAUGUCCAAACCAUCAGAUAACUGGAACUUCUGGAUAUCUUCCCCUGUAAAAUAGCAUGCAAGUUAAAUCUGAAAUGCCUGCAUUUGAUAUAGACCACGUUUUAAAUGCAAACAUGUAUAAAAAUGCUAUGAUGUACAAAACACUAGACAGCUAUCCUUUUGCUAUGCAUCAAUUCCAGAAAACAACUGGAAAUCCCUUGGAAAGUUUGAUGUAAUUACAUCUGACUGUAAAUCUUUGACUGUUUUAAUAUACUCAGGUGACCUAAAUAACAUUACACAGACAAAAAAUUAAUUUAAAGUAAUUAAGAAAGAGUAUUUGUCUCAAGAUCAGUUUCUCUUAGAAAUUACUGCUCUGAAAAGUCCUGUAUGCUUUGUUCUACAGUCAUAAUCUUUGUAUUUCCACACUGUAAAUACUUCAUGGUAAAUUGCAAUGGAAACUCGGCUUGGCUUAAGUUCUCCUGGCUCUGUGGUACUGCUUCUUGGUUAAGGAAAUGGAUUUCAUUCUCAGUUUUUGUCAUUCUAUGCUUUAAUUUACAGAUGAUUUAUAUGUGUCCUCUGCUAGUUUAAUGGUGACUUUUCUUCAGCCUGAAUUUCUGUCAUGCUUGAACAACUAAUUUACAGACACAAGGGAUAUGUUGACAAUUACCCUUUAAAAUGUCUUAACCAAACACUCUUUCUAGAGGUGUAAAUGAAGAUAAUGGAAAAUUCUGUCACCAGUUCAAAUGAGGUUUCCUUGAACUGAGUUGCUCCUUUCCUCUGGUGUUGUGCCAAGCAAGUUGAGCAUGGCCAGAAGCUGCCCUUCCUAGAUUGGCUGGCAUUGACAUGUAUUAGCUGGCUUCAUGUGCUUUAGAUAGGAGGUGAGAGCUCAUUAAAGCAUUGGAUUUACAAUGCAGUAGUGAUACAGUAAUGCAGAUCAGCCAUGCUGUUCACGUGCAAUAGUUGCCUAUUCCUUGCUAUUUUCUCAGGGCUUCUGGAAACAAGAGCAGGUAGGAGUUAGUAAUAUCCUGGAUGAAUUGUGGCCACUUGCACUGCUGUGCUCGAAAAGUGCCAUGUGGUGUAUUAUGGCCCAAAUAAAUCUGCCACUCUGUUUGUGGAUUGUCCAUGCAGAAAUACGUGUGGGACCUGCUUUUUGAAAGUUAAAUUCUGAUGCCUCAAAAUAACACCCUGUGGCAUGGGUUAUUUGUGAAAAUUGCUUGUAGAGUGUGUUCCUGAAGUGAGAGUUUGGAUUCAAUCUUUUAAAGUCACUCUUAAUUCAAAAAAGUCAUAAAAAAACAUAGAGCUGCUUUGUGGAAUUAGAUAGCUACAACAAUAUGAGUUUCCAUCAAAACUGGGCAAUCACUGCUCUCAAGGAAGGUGUGUAAAAAAGUACAGGGAGCAAGGUGAAGCUGGGAAAUUAUGACAAGGGGAGAUGAAGAAGGCAGGACAGAGGCACUAAGAGUUUGAUCCUGAGAAACAACAGAAAAAAAAUCUGAAAGCCAGAAGAGAUCUGGGAUUAUGAUAAAAUGAACCAUCUCAAAUUAUUUGAUUCUUUGUAUGCAAGGAAAUAGAAUUCUAUGCUUUUCUUAAUAAAUAAAAGCAUGCACUUGUAAUCUCGAUUUCUUCCUUGAACAAAACAUUCUGUACACCAGCAAAUUUUCUUUAAACUCUGAAAUCAAAAAAGGUAUGAGUUGCAUUAGCAGUCUUGAGGAGACUGCAUUCAACAGCAGUGCUGGACUGACAAGCAGAGAUAACAUCUUAGCUAACCUCCAGAUUCAGUCAGCCAUAAGCACACUGUGAACUUUUUUUUCUAACUACCAAGUUGAUGCUAUUUUUAAAAAAACCCACAUACGGAUUAUUUUCAAAUGAAGACAUUUAAGUGUAGCAUUUCAUUAAAGAAAAAAGUGACAACAUAUACUUUAGCUUUCUAUUUCAUCUUAAAUCACAUAACUAGAUUAUUGCAAUAUUCUUUAAAUUCAGAAGUCCCUUUCUCAAAUGGCAGCGAAAAUAGCUUUUCUCGUGACUGUUUAACUUCUAAGAAAGCUACUUUUUUUUGCUCUUUUAUGUCAAUCCUUCCCAUGCACUGUCAUCAUUUUACCAGGGUAAUAGUCUAUUUUCUUUCCUUCUCUUCUUUCUUCAGUAUCUUCUGUAAUUUUCUUCACUAAGGGAAAAGUUCUUGAUUCUGCUGAUCAGGGCACAACUGCUUGAGCAGGGUAAGUUUUGGGAGACAAUUGUAAACUAAGACUAAAGAAAUGAUGGACAAAUCCCACAUACUUAAAUUUCUAUUUAAAGAGUGAGUUGGUAUUGAAAUUGGGCUUUUACGUGCAGAGCAGUAGACAAAUUCUUUGUCUGUAUUUACAGAUAUUUGCAUUUGAGUAAGGCUGUGUAAAAAAAGGGUAAUAUGAAAAAAAACUCCAAAAAUAGUUUGAAGGCUAGAGAACAAACCUUUUUGGCUGAAGAGUUCAAUCAUAGUAACUUAACAAAAGCGACAUCAUUACAGAAUAAGCACAGUUAUGCAGGUAUUCAAACCAGUCUGUUAUCAUACAUGGUGAUCAUUAGAUCACUAGAUCAUUAGAUCUCUUCUGGUGUGGAAAACAUGACCUUACAGUAAAAUAGCUGUGCUUAAAGAGUGUGGGCCACCUUGUCUGUUCAUUGUCAUGGAGUUCAAUAUGGUAAGGGUCCCUGUGCAGCCUGCCCUACACUGUCCAUGGAUGGAUAGUCAUGAAAAUAAAGAACUGGAAACAAUCCUGAGAAAAAAACACUUGUGGCUGCUUUCUUGCCUGAAGCUUUGGGUUUCUGAAGGGGCAUAAUAACCACUUCAGGAAGGUUAACUGGUGUUUAGGGAAAACUGUAGGAUGUCUAACCUGGAACCCCAGUCUUGUCAUCAGUUUAGAGCCAAGCUUUUGAGAGUUGUUCAGAAGGAAAGCAAACUGCCACUUGGAAAGGGAGCUCAAGCCAGUCAAGGGAGCUGUGUAGCACCUUAGACUUCACCAUACUGACCUUAUCCUCUUGGAAGACAAUGGUUUAAAUAAUGAAUAAUAAAAAUGUGCCUCUGCCAAAAA